GGAUUUUCUACAGAAGAAAGAUUUUCCUCAAGAGACAACUUUGCAGAGUUCUUCUUAAUGCCUCCUGCAUCAUUUCCAAGGGUUAUACCUGUGCUCAGCAGGAUGAGUAUGGAGAAACAGAUCUCAGUAUUGGUAUUGCUGGACCCUUCCGUACACAUUGGAAUCCUGAGAUACUGCAAAAGCAUUCAACAACCCAUGUGCUGCCAGAAAAUGCAGGAACUCUUGCUGUAAUGCUGGAGGUGGUCGGGCACAACUCACAGCCCUGCUUGGGACACAGCAGCUGGGGGUCCAUGGAGAUGUCUACCUGAGGCCAAUUGGAGCGAUGGAUGCUGCUUCAGUGCCUGAUCCAGAAUAUACAAAAUAUACUGAAUGAUUAAACCACAGGAAGAGCAACAAGCAAUGCAGACAUCUUCAAAUGCAGCUCAUCGUUUGGUCAUAUCCAAUUGUAACUGCUCAGAUUUAUCAUACGGAUAGUUUAGCCUUUCUAGAAUUUCCCUAUUAAUGUAUUUUCUUCUUAUUACAUCUAAGUGAAAAAUUACAGUCACUCACUGUUAUAAUUCUGUCUAGCUUCUGAAAUCAUUAUAGUUUUGAGUUAAAUCUCUUCUCCCUUUCUGACUGCAUAAUGAAGCAUUGGGUCAUCAGAUUAUGGUAAUGCAAAAUAAAAGAUUUGUAUGAUUUAAGAAGUGGUAUCAUAUAUUUACUUAUAGCAUUAGGUAUAUUUGGUCAUUUAAAAAUGCAUUAGCUAAUCAGAAUCUAUUGCCUUGCUAAAAAUCUAUGUUUCAACUUCAUUUUCUUUGCUAUAAAUUGUUUAAGUUUUCCAUUGGGCAUGAUUAUUGUUGAUCUCAAUCUGCACAACUCUAAAAUACUGAGAAUACAGUAGUUUCAGAUAGCCUAUAUAUUUGCUGCAAAUUAAGUUUAAAGUGUUACUAACGUAGUGAUUCUUUGUAGCUAAGGCUACAUUUAAAUGCUCAUCUUAAGCCAAAGUUAUUCUGCAGUUCAAUUUAAUAUUUUAAAUUACUCCUUUUGAAUUUGACCAUGUGACAUUUAUUAGGACAGUUGCUCAUUUGUGUUCUGCGGAAAAAUAAUAUUUUAAAUACUUCUUGUACAUUGUCCUGCUUCCAAAGUACAAUAGAUUCUCUUAAGAUGUGGUUAUCAUUUGGAGCUGGGCUAUGUAAUCUUUUUCUCCUUUUUCAUCACACCUCACCUCAAUUUAUAAAAUCAGAAUAAAACAUGUUGUUUAUUAUCAUUCAGUGUAAUUCUUAUAACUUCCAUCUUCUAUAUAUGCAUAGUGUUAAAACAAACCAACAUGAGAUUUGAGAAAAGGCAUAACUAGCCUUCAUUUUAUUCAUUGCAUGUCCACAGUUCAGUACGUGGUUGUGAUUAAGUUACUUGUCUCUUUGUGGACACAAUGGACACUUAGG
Molecule: long non-coding RNA, 1421 nt
Filed under: Homo sapiens (human)
Lineage: Eukaryota; Metazoa; Chordata; Mammalia; Primates; Hominidae
Description: HSALNT0252802
Source: RNAcentral